Molecule: ribosomal RNA, 468 nt
Filed under: uncultured bacterium
Lineage: Bacteria
Description: partial 16S ribosomal RNA
Rfam family: Bacterial small subunit ribosomal RNA
Source: RNAcentral
GACGAACGCUGGCGGCGUGCUUAACACAUGCAAGUCGAACGGAAAGGCCCUGCUUUUGUGGGGUGCUCGAGUGGCGAACGGGUGAGUAACACGUGAGUAACCUGCCCUUGACUUUGGGAUAACUUCAGGAAACUGGGGCUCAUACCGGAUAGGAGCUCCUGCUGCAUGGUGGGGGUUGGAAAGUUUCGGCGGUUGGGGAUGGACUCGCGGCUUAUCAGCUUGUUGGUGGGGUUGUGGCUUACCAAGGCUUUGACGGGUAGCCGGCCUGAGAGGGUGACCGGCCACAUUGGGACUGAGAUACGGCCCAGACUCCUACGGGAGGCAGCAGUGGGGAAUAUUGCACAAUGGGCGGAAGCCUGAUGCAGCAACGCCGCGUGCGGGAUGACGGCCUUCGGGUUGUAAACCGCUUUCGCCUGUGACGAAGCGUGAGUGACGGUAAUGGGUAAAGAAGCACCGGCUAACUACGUG